RNAcentral lists this ribosomal RNA (244 nucleotides) under uncultured bacterium. RNAcentral's name for it is "partial 16S ribosomal RNA". It matches the Rfam family "Bacterial small subunit ribosomal RNA", at positions 533 to 776 of the family's 1533-position model. The record is from RNAcentral.
GGCUAGCGUUGUCCGGAAUCAUUGGGCGUACAGCGCGUGUAGGCGGUCCGGUAAGUCCGCUGUGAAAGUCGGGGGCUCAACCCUCGGAUGCCGGUGGAUACUGUCGGGCUUGAGUACGGAAGAGGCGAGUGGAAUUCCUGGUGUAGCGGUGAAAUGCGCAGAUAUCAGGAGGAACACCAAUUGCGAAGGCAGCUCGCUGGGACGUUACUGACGCUGAGACGCGAAAGCGUGGGGAGCAAACAGG